AUGUUAUUAGUAUAAUUAUAUUAUAUCACUUUUCCAAAGUGGGGAUCUAACAGUUUAGAUAACAUA
Molecule: transfer RNA, 66 nt
Filed under: Diphyllobothrium cordatum
Lineage: Eukaryota; Metazoa; Platyhelminthes; Cestoda; Diphyllobothriidea; Diphyllobothriidae
Description: tRNA-Gly
Source: RNAcentral